RNAcentral lists this ribosomal RNA (374 nucleotides) under uncultured organism. RNAcentral describes it as "partial 16S ribosomal RNA". It matches the Rfam family "Bacterial small subunit ribosomal RNA", at positions 526 to 897 of the family's 1533-position model. The record is from RNAcentral.
GGAGGGGUGCGAGCGUUAAUCGGAAUUACUGGGCGUAAAGGGUGCGUAGGUGGGCCUUAUAAGUCAGAUGUGAAAGCCCUGGGCUUAACCUGGGAACUGCAUUUGAAACUAUGGGGCUAGAGUUCGGUAGAGGGAAGUGGAAUUUCCGGUGUAGCGGUGAAAUGCGUAGAUAUCGGAAGGAACACCAGUGGCGAAGGCGACUUCCUGGGCCGCAACUGACACUGAGGCACGAAAGCGUGGGGAGCGAACAGGAUUAGAUACCCUGGUAGUCCACGCUGUAAACGAUGAGUACUAGAUGUUAGGGAGCUUAGACUCUUUAGUAUUGUAGCUAACGCGCUAAGUACUCCGCCUGGGGACUACGGCCGCAAGGUUAA